RNAcentral lists this transfer RNA (86 nucleotides) under Chloroflexota bacterium. Its description in RNAcentral is "tRNA-Leu". It matches the Rfam family "tRNA". Rfam says of the family: Transfer RNA (tRNA) molecules are approximately 80 nucleotides in length. Their secondary structure includes four short double-helical elements and three loops (D, anti-codon, and T loops). RNAcentral also lists the same sequence under 1 other name. Lineage: Bacteria; Bacillati; Chloroflexota. The record is from RNAcentral.
GCCGGAGUGGCGGAAUGGCAGACGCGCCGGACUCAAAAUCCGGUGAGCGCAAGCUCGUGUGGGUUCGACUCCCACCUCCGGCACCA